This 1309-nucleotide ribosomal RNA is filed under the name uncultured organism. RNAcentral's name for it is "bacterial SSU rRNA". It matches the Rfam family "Bacterial small subunit ribosomal RNA", at positions 28 to 1300 of the family's 1533-position model. The record is from RNAcentral.
GAUGAACGCUGGCGGCGUGGAUAAGGCAUGCAAGUCGAACGUGAAAGUCGCCCUUCGGGGUGGCAAGUAAAGUGGCGAAUGGGUGAGUAACACGUGGGUAACCUACCUUCUAGUGGGGGAUAAGGGUCGAAAGCCCGGUAAUACCGCAUGUGGUCCCUAGGUCGCAUGGCCUGGGGAAGAAAGCGGGGGAUCUUCGGACCUCGCGCUAGAAGAUGGGCCCGCGCCCGAUUAGCUUGUUGGUGGGGUAAAAGCCUACCAAGGCUGCGAUCGGUAGCUGGUUUGAGAGGAUGGUCAGCCACACUGGGACUGAGAUACGGCCCAGACUCCUACGGGAGGCAGCAGUCUAGAAGCUUCGGCAAUGGGGGAAACCCUGACCGAGCGACGCCGCGUGCGGGAUGAAGCUUUUCGGAGUGUAAACCGCUUUCGCUGGAGAUGAAAGCUGGAGCAGUUAAUAGCUGGUUCAGUUGACAGUAUCCAGUAAAGAAGCACCGGCUAACUCCGUGCCAGCAGCCGCGGUAAUACGGGGGGUGCGAGCGUUAAUCGGAUCUAUUGGGCGUAAAGGGGGCCUAGGCGGCUAAGUAAGUCAGGGGUGAAAUCUGCACGGCUCACCCGGCAAAUUGCCCUUGAUACUGCUUGGCUCGAGUUCGGACGAGGGAAGCGGAAUUCCGUGUGUAGCGGUGAAAUGCGUAGAUNUACGGAGGAACACCAGUGGCGAAGGCGGCUUCCUGGGCCGACACUGACGCUGAAGCCCGAAAGCGUGGGGAGCGAACGGGAUUAGAUACCCCGGUAGUCCACGCCCUAAACGUUGCGCACUAGGUGUUGGGAGUAUCGGAACCGCCUUCCCAGUGCUGUAGUUAACGCAUUAAGUGCGCCGCCUGGGGAGUACGGUUCGCCAAAGAGCUGAAACUCAAAAGAAAUUGACGGGGGCCCGCACAAGCGGUGGAUCAAUGCCGGUUUAAUUCGAUGCAACGCGAAGAACCUUACCAGGGCUUGGACAUUCACCGAAAGGUACCAAUGGCCCUUCUUUGGAAACGUAGAGGCUUAGGNGAGACAGGUGUUGCAUGGCUGUCGUCAGCUCGUUUCGUGAGAUGUUGGUUAAGUCCCGCAACGAGCGCAACCUUAUCCGCUGUUGCCAUCAGGUCUUGACGUGGGCACUUGCGGAAACUGCCGGUGACAAACCGGAGGAAGUGGGGACGACGUCAAGUCAUCAUGGCCCUUACGUCUGGGUACACGCGUGAUACAAUGGGUAGUACAAAGCGUCGCGAGACCGAAAGUGGAGCAAAUCGCAAACUGCCCUCAGUUCGGAUUG